UUGCCAGACUCCUACGGGAGGCAGCAGUGAGGAAUAUUGGUCAAUGGGCGGGAGCCUGAACCAGCCAAGUCGCGUGAGGGAAGACGGUCCUAUGGAUUGUAAACCUCUUUAGGCGGGGAGCAAUGCCGGGCACGCGUGUCCGGAGGGAGAGUACCCGCAGAAUAAGCAUCGGCUAACUCCGUGCCAGCAGCCGCGGUAAUACGGAGGAUGCGAGCGUUAUCCGGAUUUAUUGGGUUUAAAGGGUGCGCAGGCGGAUUUUUAAGUCAGCGGUCAAAUCGUGGGGCUCAACCCCAUCCAGCCGCUGAAACUGGGGAUCUAGAGUGUGCGAGAGGUAUGCGGAAUGCGUGGUGUAGCGGUGAAAUGCAUAGAUAUCACGCAGAACCCCGAUUGCGAAGGCAGCAUACCGGUGCACAACUGACGCUCAGGCACGAAAGCGUGGGUAUCGAACAGGAUUAGAUACCCGGGUA
Molecule: ribosomal RNA, 467 nt
Filed under: uncultured bacterium
Lineage: Bacteria
Description: bacterial SSU rRNA
Rfam family: Bacterial small subunit ribosomal RNA
Source: RNAcentral